CUACGGGUGGCUGCAGUGGGGAAUAUUGCACAAUGGAGGAAACUCUGAUGCAGCAACGCCGCGUGGAGGAUGACACUUUUCGGAGCGUAAACUCCUUUUAUAUAGGAAGAAGAUGACGGUACUAUAUGAAUAAGCGCCGGCUAACUCCGUGCCAGCAGCCGCGGUAAUACGGAGGGCGCAAGCGUUACUCGGAAUCACUGGGCGUAAAGAGCGUGUAGGCGGAUUAAAAAGUCAGAAGUGAAAUCCUAUAGCUUAACUAUAGAACUGCUUCUGAAACUCUUAAUCUAGAAUAUGGGAGAGGUAGAUGGAAUUUCUGGUGUAGGGGUAAAAUCCGUAGAGAUCAGAAGGAAUACCGAUUGCGAAGGCGAUCUACUAGAACAUUAUUGACGCUGAGACGCGAAAGCGUGGGGAGCAAACAGGAUUAGAUACCCCCGUUAGUC
This 440-nucleotide ribosomal RNA is filed under the name uncultured bacterium. RNAcentral's name for it is "partial 16S ribosomal RNA". It matches the Rfam family "Bacterial small subunit ribosomal RNA", at positions 339 to 795 of the family's 1533-position model. The record is from RNAcentral.